Molecule: ribosomal RNA, 520 nt
Filed under: Citrobacter freundii
Lineage: Bacteria; Pseudomonadati; Pseudomonadota; Gammaproteobacteria; Enterobacterales; Enterobacteriaceae
Description: partial 23S ribosomal RNA
Rfam family: Bacterial large subunit ribosomal RNA
Source: RNAcentral
GUUAAGCGACUAAGCGUACACGGUGGAUGCCCUGGCAGUCAGAGGCGAUGAAGGACGUGCUAAUCUGCGAUAAGCGUCGGUAAGGUGAUAUGAACCGUUAUAACCGGCGAUUUCCGAAUGGGGAAACCCAGUGUGUUUCGACACACUAUCAUUACGUGAAUACAUAGCGUAAUGAAGCGAACCGGGGGAACUGAAACAUCUAAGUACCCCGAGGAAAAGAAAUCAACCGAGAUUCCCCCAGUAGCGGCGAGCGAACGGGGAGCAGCCCAGAGUCUGAAUCAGCUUGUGUGUUAGUGGAACGGUCUGGAAAGUCCGACGGUACAGGGUGAUAGUCCCGUACACCAAAAUGCACAGGUUGUGAACUCGAAGAGUAGGGCGGGACACGUGGUAUCCUGUCUGAAUAUGGGGGGACCAUCCUCCAAGGCUAAAUACUCCUGACUGACCGAUAGUGAACCAGUACCGUGAGGGAAAGGCGAAAAGAACCCCGGCGAGGGGAGUGAAAAAGAACCUGAAACCGUGU